AUUGAACGCUGGCGGCAUGCCUUACACAUGCAAGUCGAACGGCAGCGGGGGAGAAGCUUGCUUUUCCUGCCGGCGAGUGGCGAACGGGUGAGUAAUACAUCGGAACGUGCCCUGUAGUGGGGGAUAACUAGUCGAAAGAUUAGCUAAUACCGCAUACGACCUGAGGGUGAAAGUGGGGGGCUGCAAGGCCUCAUGCUAUAGGAGCGGCCGAUGUCUGAUUAGCUAGUUGGUGGGGUAAAGGCCUACCAAGGCGACGAUCAGUAGCUGGUCUGAGAGGACGAUCAGCCACACUGGGACUGAGACACGGCCCAGACUCCUACGGGAGGCAGCGGUGGGGAAUUUUGGACAAUGGGCGAAAGCCUGAUCCAGCAAUGCCGCGUGUGUGAAGAAGGCCUUCGGGUUGUAAAGCACUUUUGUCCGGAAAGAAAUGGCUCUGGUUAAUACCUGGGGUCGAUGACGGUACCGGAAGAAUAAGGACCGGCUAACUACGUGCCAGCAGCCGCCGCGG
RNAcentral lists this ribosomal RNA (508 nucleotides) under uncultured bacterium. RNAcentral's name for it is "partial 16S ribosomal RNA". It matches the Rfam family "Bacterial small subunit ribosomal RNA", at positions 30 to 523 of the family's 1533-position model. The record is from RNAcentral.